Molecule: long non-coding RNA, 334 nt
Organism: Dromiciops gliroides (monito del monte)
Lineage: Eukaryota; Metazoa; Chordata; Mammalia; Microbiotheria; Microbiotheriidae
Exons: 3
Source: RefSeq, a predicted model, not a curated record
AGGAGUUGGUGACAUUCAGGGAUGUGGCUGUGAAUUUCACCCAGGAGGAAUGGGGCCUUUUGGACCAUGCUCAGAAGGAGUUGUACAAGGAGGUCAUAAUGGAGAAUGCCCAGAAUCUGCUCUCUCUGGGGCUUCCUGUUCCCAGAGAAGAUGUGAUCUCUUAUUUUGAGCAAAGGGAAGCACCAUGGAUGCUGGAGCAAGAAGGCCUGAGGCACCGCUGUCCAGGAAAGAUCAGACUUGAAAUAAAAGAGACUCCUACAGAGCUAAGCCUUUCUGUGGCAGAAACUCACAAGCAAAGAUUCAGGAAUAAUGGUCACUAUGAUUUCACCGGGAG